AUUGAACGCUGGCGGCAUGCCUUACACAUGCAAGUCGAACGGCAGCACGGGAGCAAUCCUGGUGGCGAGUGGCGAACGGGUGAGUAAUAUAUCGGAACGUGCCCAGUCGUGGGGGAUAACGUAGCGAAAGCUACGCUAAUACCGCAUACGAUCUACGGAUGAAAGCGGGGGAUCGCAAGACCUCGCGCGAUUGGAGCGGCCGAUAUCAGAUUAGCUAGUUGGUGGGGUAAAGGCCCACCAAGGCGACGAUCUGUAGCUGGUCUGAGAGGACGACCAGCCACACUGGAACUGAGACACGGUCCAGACUCCUACGGGAGGCAGCAGUGGGGAAUUUUGGACAAUGGGCGCAAGCCUGAUCCAGCAAUGCCGCGUGCAGGAUGAAGGCCUUCGGGUUGUAAACUGCUUUUGUACGGAGCGAAACGGUCCUUUCUAAUAUAAGGGGCUAAUGACGGUACCGUAAGAAUAAGCACCGGCUAACUACGUGCCAGCAGCCGCCGUAA
Molecule: ribosomal RNA, 500 nt
Filed under: uncultured bacterium
Lineage: Bacteria
Description: partial 16S ribosomal RNA
Rfam family: Bacterial small subunit ribosomal RNA
Source: RNAcentral